This 1343-nucleotide ribosomal RNA is filed under the name uncultured bacterium. Its description in RNAcentral is "16S ribosomal RNA". It matches the Rfam family "Bacterial small subunit ribosomal RNA", at positions 28 to 1378 of the family's 1533-position model. The record is from RNAcentral.
GACGAACGCUGGCGGCGUGCUUAACACAUGCAAGUCGAACGGAAAGGCCCUGCUUUUGUGGGGUGCUCGAGUGGCGAACGGGUGAGUAACACGUGAGUAACCUGCCCUUGACUUUGGGAUAACUUCAGGAAACUGGGGCUAAUACCGGAUAGGAGCUCCUGCUGCAUGGUGGGGGUUGGAAAGUUUCGGCGGUUGGGGAUGGACUCGCGGCUUAUCAGCUUGUUGGUGGGGUAGUGGCUUACCAAGGCUUUGACGGGUAGCCGGCCUGAGAGGGUGACCGGCCACAUUGGGACUGAGAUACGGCCCAGACUCCUACGGGAGGCAGCAGUGGGGAAUAUUGCACAAUGGGCGGAAGCCUGAUGCAGCAACGCCGCGUGCGGGAUGACGGCCUUCGGGUUGUAAACCGCUUUCGCCUGUGACGAAGCGUGAGUGACGGUAAUGGGUAAAGAAGCACCGGCUAACUACGUGCCAGCAGCCGCGGUGAUACGUAGGGUGCGAGCGUUGUCCGGAUUUAUUGGGCGUAAAGGGCUCGUAGGUGGUUGAUCGCGUCGGAAGUGUAAUCUUGGGGCUUAACCCUGAGCGUGCUUUCGAUACGGGUUGACUUGAGGAAGGUAGGGGAGAAUGGAAUUCCUGGUGGAGCGGUGGAAUGCGCAGAUAUCAGGAGGAACACCAGUGGCGAAGGCGGUUCUCUGGGCCUUUCCUGACGCUGAGGAGCGAAAGCGUGGGGAGCGAACAGGCUUAGAUACCCUGGUAGUCCACGCUGUAAACGGUGGGUACUAGGUGUGGGGUCCAUUCCACGGGUUCCGUGCCGUAGCUAACGCUUUAAGUACCCCGCCUGGGGAGUACGGCCGCAAGGCUAAAACUCAAAGGAAUUGACGGGGCCCCGCACAAGCGGCGGAGCAUGCGGAUUAAUUCGAUGCAACGCGUAGAACCUUACCUGGGUUUGACAUGGAUCGGGAGUGCUCAGAGAUGGGUGUGCCUCUUUUGGGGUCGGUUCACAGGUGGUGCAUGGCUGUCGUCAGCUCGUGUCGUGAGAUGUUGGGUUAAGUCCCGCAACGAGCGCAACCCUUGUUCACUGUUGCCAGCACGUUAUGGUGGGGACUCAGUGGAGACCGCCGGGGUCAACUCGGAGGAAGGUGGGGAUGACGUCAAGUCAUCAUGCCCCUUAUGUCCAGGGCUUCACGCAUGCUACAAUGGCUGGUACAGAGAGUGGCGAGCCUGUGAGGGUGAGCGAAUCUCGGAAAGCCGGCCUCAGUUCGGAUUGGGGUCUGCAACUCGACCUCAUGAAGUCGGAGUCGCUAGUAAUCGCAGAUCAGCAACGCUGCGGUGAAUACGUUCCCGGG